UAUAUUUUAGUGUAUGAUGCACAAAAGUUUUUGAUACUUUUAGUAGUAGUUUGAGUCUAUUAAAUAUAA
Molecule: transfer RNA, 69 nt
Filed under: Henicus brevimucronatus
Lineage: Eukaryota; Metazoa; Arthropoda; Insecta; Orthoptera; Anostostomatidae
Description: tRNA-Gln
Source: RNAcentral